ACACUUCUCUGGAUGGACUGGAGAAGGCAGAGACGUGAGCAGCAGACAAGAUGGAAUGUGAUAAAUGCGCGGAUUAGCACGAUAGACUGUGACAGCAGAAUUGGAGAACAUUUUUCCAGCGAGUCGCACCAGUCGGGAUGCAGCAAGACAUAGUGGCAGAAGGAACGGUUGUGAGGAGGUGUGUGGUGUCAGACAUGGGCCCCGCUUAUCACAGGAGGAACUGAACGGCAGGAUGAAUGACUUCAAUCAAUUCACUGCUACUGCCGGAAAG
This is a long non-coding RNA of Tachyglossus aculeatus (Australian echidna), 271 nucleotides long. RefSeq lists it as uncharacterized. The transcript is spliced from 3 exons. The record is from RefSeq and is a predicted model, not a curated record. Lineage: Eukaryota; Metazoa; Chordata; Mammalia; Monotremata; Tachyglossidae.